GAUGAAUAACGUAGCGAAAUGCGAUAAGUAAUGUGAAUUGCAGAAUUCAGUGAAUCAUCGAAUCUUUGAACGCACCUUGCACCCUUUGGCAUUCCGAAGGGUAUGCUCGUUUGAGUGUCAUUGUACUCUCACACUCUCCGAUCCUAUGGAUUCGGGGAGCGGUGGACUUGGGUGUUGCUGCCUUUCCUUGUGGCUCACCUCAAAUGUGUCAGUGCACCUCUUGGUUGGACAUAGUACGGCGUGAUAAGUGUCUUCGCCGGCACCUCGCAAGAGGGUGGCCGAUCGGGAGCUCUGUGCUUUCAAACCGUCUUCGGACAAUUUCUGACAACUUGACCUCAAAUCGAGUAGGACUACCCGCUGAACUUAAGCAUAUCAAUAAGCGGAGGA
This 387-nucleotide unclassified non-coding RNA is filed under the name soil metagenome. RNAcentral describes it as "partial contains 5.8S ribosomal RNA, internal transcribed spacer 2, and large subunit ribosomal RNA". The stretch from base 1 to 120 matches the Rfam family "5.8S ribosomal RNA", at positions 35 to 154 of the family's 154-position model. The record is from RNAcentral.